This 270-nucleotide unclassified non-coding RNA is filed under the name Rhizopogon luteolus. Its description in RNAcentral is "partial internal transcribed spacer 2". The record is from RNAcentral. Lineage: Eukaryota; Fungi; Basidiomycota; Agaricomycetes; Boletales; Rhizopogonaceae.
AUUUCUCAACCCCUUUCAAUUAACUUUGAAUGGGAGCUUGGAUAGUGGGGGUUUGCAGGAAACUUGGAUAUUUUCUUUAACUAGAAAAAGUCUAGGAUUCGGGCUCUCCUGAAAUACAUUGGCUUGCGGGUCUACUUUCGACUUUGUGCGAUAAGGCUUUCGGUGUGAUAAUGAUCACCGUGUGCUGAAGUGCAUAACUGUAAAGUUCCGUGCCUCUAAUAUUGUCGAUCCCUAUAGUAUAUACUAUAUAGGAUCUUCCUUAUAAUGACA